GAGUGGUGUUUGGUUUGUCACGUGUGGUUGGCUGCGGCGUUUGCAACAACUUCCAUGCUUUCAGACCUCUUCAGUUGUGCGGCAAGGCUUGUAUCGCCAUGUCCGUAUCGUGGGUUUUCUGUGUUGAAUACCUAAUCAAUGGUAUCGGUUGGAUUGAUAAAUGUGUCAUUUCGUCUGUCGUCGCAUUCGCGGCGUGAGACGAACCUUGAUGCGGUCUCUUUGGCCCACCUCGUCGAAGCACAUGCUUUGACGUUGUGGCACAUUGAGCAUUGCUUGGUCUCUUGUAUACGGAACAUAUAGUGGGCAUGGAUCUAACGAUUCUUGUUUGCCCUCUUGUUAGCGUAACGCUUCUCUUACACGACUUGCUCCACGUUUUAGCUCGUACGGACGUGGUGCUAUGUCGAAGAGGAAUGCUACCUGGU
RNAcentral lists this unclassified non-coding RNA (422 nucleotides) under Artemisia selengensis. RNAcentral's name for it is "partial external transcribed spacer". Lineage: Eukaryota; Viridiplantae; Streptophyta; Magnoliopsida; Asterales; Asteraceae. The record is from RNAcentral. RNAcentral also lists the same sequence under 1 other name.